RNAcentral lists this ribosomal RNA (232 nucleotides) under uncultured bacterium. RNAcentral describes it as "partial 16S ribosomal RNA". It matches the Rfam family "Bacterial small subunit ribosomal RNA", at positions 99 to 334 of the family's 1533-position model. The record is from RNAcentral.
CGGACGGGGGAGUAAUGUCUGGGAAACUGCCUGAUGGAGGGGGGUAACUACUGGAAACGGUAGCUAAUACCGCAUAACGUCGCAAGACCAAAGAGGGGGACCUUAGGGCCUCUUGCCAUCGGAUGUGCCCAGAUGGGAUUAGCUAGUAGGUGGGGUAACGGCUCACCUAGGCGACGAUCCCUAGCUGGUCUGAGAGGAUGACCAUCCACACUGGAACUGAGACACGGUCCAG